Non-coding RNA from Dipodomys ordii (Ord's kangaroo rat), 70 nucleotides. Lineage: Eukaryota; Metazoa; Chordata; Mammalia; Rodentia; Heteromyidae. The record is from Rfam.
GGGAAGAUGGCUCAGUGGUAGAGUGCUUGCCUUCCAUGCAUGAAAACCUGGGUUCGAUUCCUCAGUACCA